UAGGGAAUCUUCGGCAAUGGACGAAAGUCUGACCGAGCAACGCCGCGUGAGUGAAGAAGGUUUUCGGAUCGUAAAACUCUGUUGUUAGAGAAGAACAAGGACGUUAGUAACUGAACGUCCCCUGACGGUAUCUAACCAGAAAGCCACGGCUAACUACGUGCCAGCAGCCGCGGUAAUACGUAGGUGGCAAGCGUUGUCCGGAUUUAUUGGGCGUAAAGCGAGCGCAGGCGGUUGCUUAAGUCUGAUGUGAAAGCCCCCGGCUCAACCGGGGAGGGUCAUUGGAAACUGGGAGACUUGAGUGCAGAAGAUGAGAGUGGAAUUCCAUGUGUAGCGGUGAAAUGCGUAGAUAUAUGGAGGAACACCAGUGGCGAAGGCGGCUCUCUGGUCUGUAACUGACGCUGUGGCUCGAAAGCGUGGGGAGCAAACAGG
This 429-nucleotide ribosomal RNA is filed under the name Gemmatimonadota bacterium. RNAcentral's name for it is "Gemmatimonadetes bacterium partial 16S ribosomal RNA". It matches the Rfam family "Bacterial small subunit ribosomal RNA", at positions 355 to 776 of the family's 1533-position model. Lineage: Bacteria; Pseudomonadati; Gemmatimonadota. The record is from RNAcentral.